AAUAGAUACCCAGGUAGUCCUGGCAGUAAACGGUGCGCGUUUGGUGUGGGAGGAUUCGACCCCUUCCGUGCCGGAGCUAACGCGUUAAACGCGCCGCCUGGGGAGUACGGUCGCAAGAUUAAAACUCAAAGAAGUUGACGGGGGCCCGCACAAGCGGUGGAGUAUGUGGCUUAAUUCGAUGCAACGCGAAGAACCUUACCUGGGCUUGACAUGCAUCUCUCAGUCGGUGAAGGCCGGCGAGUCCCGCAAAGGACAAUUUGCACAGGUGCUGCAUGGCUGUCGUCAGCUCGUGUCGUGAGAUGUUGGGUUAAGUCCCGCAACGAGCGCAACCCCCGCCCCGUGUUACCUGUGUCACGGGGGACUGCCGGUGUUGACACCGGAGGAAGGCGGGGAUGACGUCAAGUCAGCAUGGCCCUUACGCCCAGGGCGACACACACGCUACAAUGGAGGGCGGAAUGCGCCGCGACCCGGCAACGGGGAGCAAAUCGCCAAGACCCUUCGUAGUGCAGAUUGGGGGCUGCAACUCGCCCCCAUGAAGGCGGU
This 543-nucleotide ribosomal RNA is filed under the name uncultured bacterium. RNAcentral describes it as "bacterial SSU rRNA". It matches the Rfam family "Bacterial small subunit ribosomal RNA", at positions 777 to 1330 of the family's 1533-position model. The record is from RNAcentral.